This 33446-nucleotide long non-coding RNA is filed under the name Hordeum vulgare. RNAcentral's name for it is "long non-coding RNA (HVUL_LNC017016)". The stretch from base 9917 to 10051 matches the Rfam family "MIR1120/MIR1122 microRNA precursor family". Lineage: Eukaryota; Viridiplantae; Streptophyta; Magnoliopsida; Poales; Poaceae. The record is from RNAcentral.
CGCUCCUUGUGGAGGCUGCAGCGGAACGAGCCCGGGUGGUUCGUCGGGGAGCACAUGCAGGAGGACCGCCGGCUCCUGGAGGAGACGGUGGGAAGUUGUUUCGGGGAGGAGACGCUGACGGACUUGCCCGGCGAGCGGGCGGGGAGGUUGACUCGGGUGGGCGAGGCCGAGCGGUAGCUGGUGAUCAACAGCACCGGGCCGCUGGGCCGACUCGCCGUCGCCGUCGCCGUCGCCAUGAGAGAGAGAUAUUAGAGUGGUGGAGCAGUUGGACGGAAUCCGGUGCGCGGAGAGGAUGGCUGGUUUUUGAGACUUGCGAGUGGACUGAGAAGGGAGCUGGAAUUUAUAGAGCCUGGAGGGGUAUUCCGGUAAAUUCAUGGGUCGGGAGCUUGGUUCGGUCGACUUAACUAACUGGGGUUAACACUGGGGGCGUAAAGCAGGUGAGCGUCUGUGCCGUGGGCCCGGACGGCUAGCACACCGGAAUCGGUUCACAAAUUUUUAGGACCCGUGCCAACUUGCUUUGAAUAUUUUGAAAUGCUGCAUGCUUACUGUGGUACGGGUGCCAUUCCAACGUCGUCGCCGUCAGAAAACCGGUUACGGCACACCGGAAUGACGGGACCCAGAACACAAAAAGGAAGUUAUCAUUUUUUAAACGCUCCGAGCGAGGCAGGUGACGGUCAGGUUGGCACGACCAGGACCUGCACGACGUGACGCGCCAGCAGCCGGAUCGGACGGCCGUGGGAUCGCCUCCGCCGCUUUGCUUGAAACGCGGCCGACCUCUGAACGCUCCACACGGUGGCAUCGGCCGCAACAUCUCAGUCGCUGUAAUUGGUUCGUGGAGUCUGCGCCAAGGAAGGGAUCAUGGAGCCCGCCGGCGAUGUGCGUGCAUGUGACCCGGCGACAAGAUGAUCCUCUGUUCAACACACCGUGCCCAGUGCCCUCUUGGGGUCUGUGGGCAUAAUCAGUAACCCGCUCACUGACAACGCAGUAGAGGACAGCUCUGGUGCUCCAUUCUUUUACUGAGAUGCAGUGCUGAAAAGGCAGCCUUGUUCAUGUCAGGUCAUGGCCACGCACAUGCGCGCGUGCACUACAUCCCGACGCCGCGCGCAACAGCUAUGCACAUGCAUGGUAGCUCGACCUCGCGGCGUGGCACGGACACAUACUGGGAGAGAGCGUGGCGACGGCCGGCCGUGAGCACAGCAAAUAGCCGGCCGCCGCAGCUGGCGCACGGAGCGAGCGCUCUGGGGCGGGCGCUACUAGGGUUCAUUUUGUUUACGUUUUAUGACUGGCCACACCUUGUCGUUUGGAUUCGGAACAGCUUGCACCACUCACGGCGGUUGACAUGCCAUGCCACACACACAUACCCUGGUCACAUGGCCUGCUGUUCUGACAGACAGUCUCGAAAUCUGGAUCCUGUACAACGUUGAUCGAUCUCCAAUCAUACAGAGCUUGGUGGUGGAUCUCCAAAUCGUGGUGGUUAUUGUUGUAUGUCAUUAUUCAGUUGAUUGCGUGCAAAAUGUAUGGACAUGUAGUGUGUAUGAUUGUGUCCGGUUUGGGAGAGUUAUGAUAGAAUAGAGUAGCAUCAUGUGCUCUGUUUGCAAGUUUAUCGUGGAACAAAAGUUGAUCGUGGCAUUGGCAAAUCCUAAAAGGCCCGGGCUAGAUUAGUGCACCGGUCCGGGAUUUGACCUGACAUGCAAUCCGAACACGAUGCUGCAUUUUGAAGAAUCUUGCUAACACGUUUCACUGGUGCUGCCGUCGCCGCGAUGCAUCUGACAUGACUGCUGCCUGCUGCACGCCACUCAUAAGCAGGAGCGUAGCCAGGAUUAUUAACCAUUGGGUUCAGCUCUACUAAAAAGUGGAAUCAGUUCCUUGCUUAGUCUUAAGUUAGAGCCUGUUUGGGACUGCUCUGCUCCUUAAAAUUCAGCUCUGCUCCAGAAAAGAUAAUCCAAACGUGGUAGCUCCACGAUAUGCUGUUCCGCAAAAAAACUAGAAUCUGAGGUACAACUUUAGAGUUUUUAUGAAGCUCGUAAGAGGGUGCUCCAAAAAACUCUAGAAGCUGGAGUUGGGGGGAAAUUACGUUGAAACUAAUCAAAUAAGUGAUGAUCCUUUCCACCAGUAAGUGGAUACCCCCUUCAUUUCUUUUCCCUCAACCAAUCAAAUAGAUCCUUUCCAUCAAAUUUUCUAUUUUUUGAAGCUGGAGCUAAAUGAAAGCCAAACAUUCUCUUGAUACUGCUAUAGAUUCUGUAUGAAACUGCUCGGAAAUGAAUUUGAUGAAGUGAAGCAGUCCCAAACAGGCCCUUAGUGUAAAUCUAUAAGGAACGUGUCAAAUUUCAUUGGGUUUACUUGAACCCAAUGCUAAUGGGCUGGCUCCGCCCCAGCUGGUACGUGAGACCGCACGCCGGUGAUGUCGCUGCUGCGUCGCGGCUACCGUGGAUUACUUUCGAUGGCUGCAGCGCAACCCUCGCCAUUUGAUUCGGAGCUACCGGUGUUGCGGCUCGAUGGUCGUGGGUGCCACCAGUCCUGCGAUGCAACACUCCUCGUCGGUGCCGGUGUUGGGACAAGGCACUCGUAGACGUUGUCGGCAGCUGCUAUGCAGCAAUUCCAGAUCAUCACUCAUCAUGUCUUAGCCAAAUAAAUUGUCCGGUCCCCAAGUCCAACACCCUGCGCCCGAGGGAAACUGAAUUUAUGUUGCAAACUCUGAACUUAGAACUAGUGUUUAGUGCAGAGAAGCAGUAUUGCAGGUCAAAAGAACACGACAGGGACAUGCCAGUCAGCCAGUGCACACCACUGCCAAGUCAAUUUCCAGCAAAAUUUUAUCAGCGCAUCUGGAAAAAAAAUCUACACCUGUCACUGAUUGCCCGCGCAGUUGUGGCGGCACUGAACUAGUGAACUUCUCCAGGUUGCGUGGCAGGCAGAUCUCGGAAUAACUGCAGCCCGGGUGACUGUGUAGUGACUCGAUUGUGCCCUGGUCAGCGGGCAAGAAAGGCCGACCUUCCUUCCAAAAUGUCAGAGUCCAUCCGUGCGUCCGCGCGCUCGACUGAGUCCGGCGUCCGACGAUGCUCGGCACGGCCAUGUUGCAAUCGAGUCAUGUGUAUUUGGUAGUCUAGAAUUGGUAAUCGGUCUUUUAUUUUAUCUCUAAGAGAGGAUUCUUGUCCUUCAAGUCUAUACUCCUAUAUACAUACUCAAUACAAAAUUCAUCACAUUCCGCAUCAAUAUCCCUCUCCCCCUUCUAACAAUUCUGACAAGUUCGCUGUUCAACGCUUAUACUGUAUGUUCAUACAAAAACAGUUGAUUUUUUAGCAGAGAAAUACCAUUGAUUAAUUUGAGUUUUUCUCAAAGUUUUGUCAGCAUUCCGUUCCUUCAUGUAAAAAGGGCAUUGAUAUUUUUUGUUCGUUGAGAAAAAGGAGCGUCUCAGGGCGCAGACACUGUAUUUGAUUGAGCGAUCAGAGCCAACUGACAGUUACAGACAUGGCGCCCAUCCAGACAACAAGAAGCGGGCAAGUUGUGCGCGCCCAGCGUUCUCCCAAACAUAAUCUUGUUGCGCAAGUUCAGGGGUUGGCGAGGAAUGCAACCGCUAGGCCGUCCAUUGCGCCAACGGUAAAUUUCACGGAUACAAAAACAACAGCAGAAGUAUCACGAGCAUGUAGAAGGAAAAAGGUUCAGUCGGCCUCAUUUCAUCACUGUGAUCAUGAAAUGCUGCAGAAUUCUUGUCGGAAUCGGGGUUUCUCCCCUGCUAAAAGUUGCUGGCCUGAUCCGGCUGGGUGCCGCCCGCGUGACGGGAGCAAGCGACGGCGAGAAGCCACUGGUCUCUCGCCGAGCUUAUCCAGAACCAAAUCAGGGGCGAGACGCAUCCACACUCCAGAUACAGAAACAGGUGCAGGAAGUUGUUGCANNNNNNNNNNNNNNNNNNNNNNNNNNNNNNNNNNNNNNNNNNNNNNNNNNNNNNNNNNNNNNNNNNNNNNNNNNNNNNNNNNNNNNNNNNNNNNNNNNNNNNNNNNNNNNNNNNNNNNNNNNNNNNNNNNNNNNNNNNNNNNNNNNNNNNNNNNNNNNNNNNNNNNNNNNNNNNNNNNNNNNNNNNNNNNNNNNNNNNNNNNNNNNNNNNNNNNNNNNNNNNNNNNNNNNNNNNNNNNNNNNNNNNNNNNNNNNNNNNNNNNNNNNNNNNNNNNNNNNNNNNNNNNNNNNNNNNNNNNNNNNNNNNNNNNNNNNNNNNNNNNNNNNNNNNNNNNNNNNNNNNNNNNNNNNNNNNNNNNNNNNNNNNNNNNNNNNNNNNNNNNNNNNNNNNNNNNNNNNNNNNNNNNNNNNNNNUGGAUAGAUCAGAUGCAUGUACGUGUCUCCAAUUUAUCACUCAUGAUCAUCCAUAUCCAAAACCAAAGGGAGUUGUACAACGGAGCAGAGAUACGAGCUAGCUACCAAAUUGGCCGGGCCGGAACCGAGAAUUGGGCACGGGAAUUUUCUUUCCUAUCUAUUUUAUCUUGCUAUUGCUAUGGCAUGUCGACGUUGGUUUGUUUGUCUACUGGUGGUUGUCGCCGGCGCGGUCACCGGCCAUGGACAUGGCGGAGAGCCGGCUCGGCCGCGAGCGGGACCUGCCCACACGCCUCCGCUGCUGCGCCGCGGGGGACGGCGCCAGCGCCCUGCGUGCCCAGUGCCCGCUCUCCAUGGGGACAAGCCGCACCAGCGCGCCGCCAUGAUGCUUCGUGCAGCCGCUGCCGAUGGAAGGCGGCGAGCCGGGCUUGCUGUUGCCGGUCGGAUCUGCCUGCUUGCGUUCCUUGUGGAGGCUGCAGCGGAAUGAACCCGGGUGGUUCGUGGGGGAGCACAUGCAGGACCGACGGCUCUUGCCGGCAGGGGACGAGGAGGAAGAAGACGAGACGCUGACGGACUUGGCCGGGGAGCGGGUGGCGCCACCGGCGGUGAGGUUGACGCGGGCGGGCGAGGUGGAGCGGUAGCCGGGAAUCAAUAGGACCGGCCCGCUGGGCCUACUCGCAGUCGCCGUCGCCGUCGCCAUGAGAGAAUGGAUCGAGGUGUGCAAGCUUUGGAAUGGAGGUUUUGCUGCUGGUUUGGGGGAGUUCGAGUGGAGUAAACUAAAGGUUGGGCGCACUUUAUAGAGUUGGAGGGGUAUUCUGUGGUUCGGGCAUAAAGCAGUGGGCGACUGAGCAGUGGGCCUAGACGGCAGCACACUGAACUUGGUCCUGGGUUCAAGGCAGGUAGGUCCAGCCCCCAAUAUCAUAGGACUCAUGCUAACUCUUUUGAAAUAUCUUUUACUUUGAAUCUUACAGAAGCAUAAGCAUCGAUGGAACUGUGCGUAACCCAGGUGCCGCCCAUCGAUUGUGGCACCCAUCCUAUGUUGCUAUCGGUAAACCGUUUCCGGCACAUUGAAAGCACGGUGCCAAGAAAAAAUAAAUACUUCCUUCGUUCCUAAAUAAAAGUCUUUCUAUAUAUUCUACUAAAAAACUACAUACGGAUGUAUAUAGAUGUAUUUUAGAGUGCAGAUUCAUUCAUUUUGCUUCGUAUGUAGUCAUCUAGUGAAAUUUUUUAAAAUCCUUAUAUUUAGGAACGGAGUAUCUUCGAACGUUCAGAUCCGCGAUGGUCAGGAUGGCACGACUAGGACCUCAUCGACGUGACCCGGCAGCAGCCGGCAGCCGCCGGCCGUGGGAUCGCCUCCUCCGCUUUGCUUGAAACGCGGCCGACCUCUGAACGUUCGACACAGUGGCAUCGGCGGCACCUUAAUCACCGUAAUGGCAGUGUCCAUCAGCACCGAGCCUGUUUACUCGCGCCGCAUGUUUGUUCGUGGAGUCCGCGCAAAGGAAGGGAUCGUGGAGCCCUCCGGCGAUGUGCACGUGAAUGAUCGCAUGCACGAGCGCGUCGUGAUCCGGCCGGUUCCGCCGUGAUAAGAUGCUCCCAUCACUGUUAUCUUGCAGUACUACUCUGCCUCUGGCUUCCGUCGAUUCCGGCCGACCCGACGAGACGGUCGAACAUGGCCGUCUCUUUCGCCGCAGCUCCGGGAGCGGCUUUCGUCCCCUCUUGUUCUUCGUUUGUUGUACUGUUAACGGCCCGGCGCCGAAAAAUCAUGAUAAAAAAGCCGUCGUCGGUAUUUGCAUCAAAGGUAGAUCUUGUCACUGUCCAGCUAACUGCCGCAACACACAGCAAAGCCCAGCAAGGACGGGCGAACGGGGACAGGACCCAAGCUAGCGAAAACACCACACGAGCAACGGCUAUGGUGGUACUAGUCAGGGGUGACGACGGCGGCCGGCGGGGCAGCUGGCAGCGCACCGGAGGCUACUAGGGUUCAAUUUUGUUUUCGUUUCUGGCAACACCUUGCCAAUCGUGUGGAUUUGGGACAGCUAAUCGUUGUUGAGCUCUGUUCGUACUGUCGCUGAUCUACAUACAAAUUGCUGCAUUUGUCUCCUAUACUCGCAUGAUAGCACCAACAACUUUUUUCUUAUAGAAAGCAUGUAAUUGUGGAGCUCGUGCUUAUAUUUGCAGAUCCUUCGAUGGGUUGAUUCCGCGCAUAUAUAUAUACGAUUGUGUCCGAUUUUGGAGAAGGAAUAAUAGAUACGGCGUGCUAGUGCAGUAUCGUGUGCCAAAUAUAUUCUUUAUCUCCUUGAUUGAUAGGAGCGGAAUAGAUUUAAAAAAACUAAAAGGGACGAGCUAGAUUAUGGCAAUGGGUCUGGCCGUCAGGGAUCGAUUCGACAUGAAAUAAAAUGCAAUCCGAACAAUAUGGGUGGAAUGCAUUUCGGUGAUGCCAAUCUUAUUGAUACGUUUCGGAAGACAAAUAUCUUGCUAGUCUUUUAGGUCCAAAGCAUGCACCGCACGUGUCAAAUUGGGCUAACCUGGCCCAACCAAAUCUUGAUGUAGCGUGAUCUCGUGAGACGCGCGCAUACAAUCACAGGUGAUGCUAGCAAGACCAUACGUCUGUAUAUAACUGUUGGACCGUAAUCAGUACUUCAUUCGUCAUAGUUUAGAAGACAUGCUUGAAAAUCUCUGAAACCUAGAUGGUUAUUGAUUGACUGUGAGAUAAAUUAAAAAAUAACAUUCACACCAUACAUGCAUACAAAAAUAGUACGACGAAGUACUAAUUAGCUGCUAGGAGUAAAUGUAAUGCGCCUUAAACCUUGUCUGUUGUGGAAAAUCACGUAAAUUUAACGGUGUCUUUUAACCGUGACGAAGGUAGUAUUAGGUUUGGCAACGACGUGGGCAGUGCAGCGACGCCACCGGCCAGAGGGGGACUCUAUGUACGUAUACGUGUGGCACGGGACUGAAAUGUUCCACAGCUGCGAGGUCACUCGUUGAUCGUGUACGAGUGUUGGUCGGUUGGCCGUUGCAUUACCCCGGAUCCGGGCAAUAGCCACACGGAGCAAUACGUGUCGGAACGAACACGUGUCGGAACGACAUGGUACAUAAUAAAAGAAGAGAGAGAAUGAAACCGUAUGAACUUGUAGCAACGGUUCAUGCACAAGCUCCGAGGCAAACAUGGUUAUUUCUUCAACAUUUAAUGGACACAUUUAGUUAUUUUAUAUACGGUUAACAUACACUCUAUUGAAGAGCUUGUAUGCUGUGAUGUUGGUGUAUGAUGUGGACACUUAUACCAAUGAUUGAACAUACGGACUGUUGAAGAUGCUCUCAAUCUGCUAGCUCUGCCUACACAUGACGAGAAAGAUGAGUCGUCUGUUAAAACUCUUGAAUCAAUCUGAAAUGAUGGACAUUAGAUCUCACCGUCGCACCAUUCAAAUAUGCAUUCCACGCAUGUUUCCACGCCGACGACAAGAUGUGGCUAUAGAUGGCACAGGACUGACCACUGAUCGGCAUGGAGCCAUGGACUGACCCAAAUACUAGACACGUUCACCCACAUGUACCGAGCUGUAAUAUACAGUACUACUUAUUUCGUUCCUAAAUAUAAAUCUUAUUACUGAUUGGAUAGUAAAUAAAAUAAAUUAAUUUAAAACUCUAAAAUAUAUCUACAUACAUUUAUAUGUAACCCAUAGUGAUAUCUUUAAAGAGUUAUACUUAUGAAUGAAGGUAGUAUAAUAUAGUGUUUGAAAGCUUGUACCGGGACGAGCUAAGUAAAUGUUGUUCUAUUUUUUUUCAUGUUCAACAAUGAAAGCGACGUUGAUAUCCAAUCGGUUCCCAUCUAGCUCUCCCUUUCGUGUCGACGUAUGUUGGGACAUCAAUUAGAUUUAUUUUAGCAAAAUAUCUACUCCCUCCGUUCCUAAAUAUAAGUCUUUGUAGAGAUUUCACUAGUGAACUACAUACAAAUGUAAAUAUAUAUACUUUAGAGUAUAGAUUCAAUCAUUUUGCUCCGUAUGUAGACCUUUAGUGAAAUCGCUUAAAAGACUUAUAUUUAGAAACGGAGGGAGUAGAUUUUUAAUUCAGAGCGACGACAACAUGGAUGCCCGAUGCAACAAAGAGCGGUGAGGUGCGAUGAAAUUAGGCAUGUAGAUCCGCUGAGCAAGUAGGUUGGAGACAGAAAAAAAAAUAAUAUCGACCGGUCGACAUGUAAACUAGGAUAAAAAAAUGGGCACGUUAAAGGCACAUCUAGAUAUGACAUAGUUAUUACACAUGUAAAUGAUUAAAUUAAAAAAUAUCUACAUAAAUUUUCACGUAACAUCAAUGAUAUAAAACUUAGAUGUACAAUAUUUAUGUCACAUCUAAAUAUAUUUUAACGAAAAACAUAAAAAAAAUCACAUGCGUCCAUUAACUAUGAUCAGCCACACUAAAUCAUUUGAGUACUGAAUUUCUGACGGAAAACAAUUUGAUUGGAAACAAUUUGAUCGGAAACAAAUUUCCCUGGAUCCAGAAGCACAAAGCCUGAAGUUGGGACCACGACUCAAUCUGUUUGCAUUGCCAAGCCUACAGGUUAGUCAUGACUUACAGGUCAUUAUCCCUAGGCUCUGUCUAAUUGUUCACUCCUCAAGUCCGAGACCUGCGUCCGAGGGAAACGGACUUUGUGUCAUAUAUACUCUGAACUAGAAAGAGUGCAGAGCCGGUAGUAGAGUAUUUUUACAGGUCAAGCUGAAAACGAUGGGGACAUGCCAGGGCACACCACAAAGAAGUCAAUUUCCAACCCCCAGUCUCCCAACAAGAUCUUAUCAGCCCCGGCAAAAAAAAAGAAGAUCUUAUCAGAGCAUCUGCAAGAACCAUCAAUAAUUCACCACGAACCGGAUUUUUCUGCCAGCCUUGUGCGUUGUGAUUUUUUGGAGGACGGGAUCCUUGGAGCCCUUUUUUCAAAAUCUUCAAAAAAGACAUUUUUGGAUUUCAAAAUAGAAACUCCCGUGAAAAUUUAUACAUAUUCUUGACGCAUUUGGAAAUUUUCGUUCAAAAAUAUUAUGAUUUUCAAGCUUUGCAAAAAAAAGAAAAACCAGGCCCUAACAAAAAAAAUGCUGGCCCAUUUUUAUUUGUGUAUUUUUUAUCUAUGCCAUUUAUGAAAGUUCUCCCUCCGUCUCAAAAUAAGUGUCUCAACUUUAUACUAGCUCUAAUACAAAAUUCUACUAAGUUUGAAACACUUAUUUUGAAACGAUGGGAGUAUUUGAUAAUGAAACCUUUUUUGGACGUGUUAAACAUAUAUUUAUGUGUGUAUAAUUUUUUCAAAUUUUUUACGUUAUGGAGAUACGUUAUCUAAACAAUAAGCUUACUCGAGCCCGGCCUUCAUCGGUCAUUUGCGUGCAGCGUACGUUUAUAUAUGGCGCCUCUCCAUCCAUAAAACAUACUCCUUCCGUUCCAUAAUAUAAAUCUUUUAAAGAUUUUAUUAGAAGACUACAUACGGAUGUAUAUAGACAUGUUUUAGAGUGUAGAUUCACUCAUUUUGCUCUGUAUGUAGUCUCCUAGUGAAAUCGCUUAAAAGACUUAUAUUUAGGCACGGAGGGAGUAUAUAGGAUAAAUGUUUUCUACCAUCCUGUAAUAGUUACCCUCAUGUCAGUUCUUGUAUGUUAUACUCUCUCCGUCCCAAAAUUCUUGUCUUAAGUUUAUGUAGAUAUAAAUGUAUUUUGUCACGUUCUAGUAUCUAAAUACAUUCAUUUCUAAACAAACAUAAAACAAGAUUUUAAGACGGAGGAAGUAUAUAGUAUCUGUUAAAAUACAUUCUUGCCGUUCGGAAUUACUUAUCAUAAAGAUAAAUAUAAAUAAAUGUAUUUAAGACUAAAAUAUAUUUAUAUACAUUCAUUUCUAUGACAAGUAUUUUGGAUGAAGAAAAUAUUAGAAUGUAAGAAUAAUUUCCGCACGGAGCUGCCCGCUUUCGGUCGGCACAUUGCCAUCCGGCUUGCCUGGACCUUACUAGUAACUCGGCGCACUUUUUCCCACCGGCUUCUUAUCAUCGGUCGCGCUCCCGUCCUACAUUCCGAGACGCCGGAAAAAACGCACUCUUGUAAGCAGCCAUGGAUUGCCUGCAGUUGAGGCGGCACUGAACUUGUCCAUGUUAAUAUGUUAUAACCCGAGUGACUGUGCACUGCUGACUCGAUCAUGCCCUGGUGCACCGGUUAGUCGUGUCGUGCGGAGGCAGGUGAGGCCGACCUUCCUUCCUUGGGGAGCGCCAAGUCCAUUUGUGCGUCCGCGCGCGCGACCGGGUCCAGUCUCCGACGGUGCUCGGCGCCGGCAUAUACGUCGCGAUCGACUUAUUUCGACGGUCAUGCGUUCUACGGACCUGCUCGGGACGACGCUGACGUUCCAGAGCUUCUUCUUCUUCUUCUGGUUAGCUGGUGCCGGUUUGACAUUGGACGAGUUUGCCGUGGAAGCAGUACGUACCAACUUGAUUGUCAAAUAUUCAACGAGUUCGUUAUUUAAACUACGCAAUGUACUAGUAGUACUAUAUUCAACUCUGAGCAACUCCACUUGGUUUUCGCCUGUCCGCCGUUCGACGCAUCUAGAGUGUACGUGCGUGUACAUACUUACUCCUACAUAAAUUGCUGAAUGCCACUCAUACCAACUCUCGUAUCGUGUAAGCAUCUCCAAUAAAUGGACCAUAUAUAAAAAUAACAAACUUUUACAGCUUGAGAGCAAAAAACGCUGCUUCAAUACAGAUACAUCUGAUGUAAAAACCGCGGUCUUUCGCGAAACCACCAACCCCCUUCAUUUUAUUUCCCCACCCGCCCGUCUUCCGCCGCCAUGCCCAAGGCCGACGACCCCGUCACCUUCUCCGCCACCGCCACAACCGAAGGGCUGACCCACGUCGUCGCCGCCGCCGACGCAGCAGUGAACUCGCCCUCCGCGACCACAUCCAUACUCGCGCCCCCCGCCCGUCGAGCCGGAUUCACGCCGCCCGACCAGUCACCACCGCCCCGACGGCAAAGGCACGAGGCAAAGGCAAAUGGCCGGUGAAUCUCACCAGCCGAAAAUGUGGCUCGGACGGCCAAAAUCACGAGCCGAAAAUGCAGCCGCGACAGCUCGGGCAUGGGAGCUUGAACAGCAGCCGGGCAACCGACGUAUGGUUUUGAAUAGUCUGUUGGAGUUGUUGUUUUACAUCUCCGUUUUGAACCAUCUGUUUGAGUUAAACCUUUUUUUAAGUUGUAAAAAGUUUUAUUGAUGCUUCAAAUUUUUACAUCAGAGAUUUGGAACAUCAAAAUAUACAUCAUAUAUUAGUGAUGCUAUGAGUGUAUUAUUAUAUUUAGAAAAACAGAGAGGAGCUCCCCGACUCUGUAUGCAUGUUCAUUAUUCCCUUGGCUGGUCUGAAACAUUGCAUUGCAUUGCAUUGCAUUGGUAUUUUUCGUUCGAUAAGAAAAGUGCACUGUAGUUGAUGGAGAGACGAGAGCCAACUGACGUACAUGGCGCCAACCCAACGCAACUGAUUUCUGGCGAAGAAACGGAACUGAUAGCAAAGAGCCAGCUGUGUGUGUCUGUGUGCGCCCACCGUUCUCCCAUCAUCAUCUUCUUCCUGCGCAAGCUCAAAGAGUUGGCGGGGGAAUCCCAACCGCUUUGCCGUCGCUUGCGCAAGUGGCUGGGCCGAUCCAGCCGGCUGGGGGCACGCUCGGGUGCCGACCGUGUGACGGGAGGAAGCGACGGAGAGACGCCAUUCAUCUCUUGCGGAGCUUAUCCGAAGCCGAAACAGAGGCGAGAGAUCGAUGCAUCCACACUCCAGAAACAGAAACAGAGGCAGAAAGUUGUUGGGCAAACGGACCAUCGUCUCAAGGAUGGAUAAGGCUCCCGUCACGGGGCAGAGCAGAUGCAUGUACCAUGUGUCUCCAAUUUGUCACUCAUGUAUAUCCAUAUUAUCCAAAACGAUACUCCCGGCGUAUACAGAGUAGAGAGGAGAUGAUGAGCUCACUCUAUGUGAUCGAAUUGGGUACUCUAAGACUCCAAUUUUCUGCCGCAAACGGAAGACCCCGGUGAAUUAUUUGGGGAGCUUCUUUCCUACCAUGCUAUGGCACACUACUUUUCUUAUGGCAUGUCGACGCUGUUUUUUCUACUGGUUGUCACCGGCGCGGUCGCCGGCCAUGGACACGGAGGAGAGCCGGCUCGGCCGGGGACGGAAGCCGAGAGCGCGUCUCCGCUGAAGGGACUGCCGCGCGGCGGGGGACGCCGCGAGCGCUCGGCGUGCCCAGUGCCCGCCCUCCAUGGGGACAAGCUGCGCCAGCGCGCCGCCCGGGCGCUUCGAGCAGCCGCUGCCGAAGGACGGCGGCGAACCAAGGGGCUUGCGGUUGACGGCUGUGGUGGCCUGCUUGCGCUCCUUGUGGAGGCCGCACCGGAACGACCCCCGGUGGUUGGUCGGGGAACACAUGCAGGACCGACGGGUCUUGCCGCCGGCAGGGGACGAGGAGGAAGGAGACGCGACGCUGACGGACUUGGCCGGCGAGCGGGUGGCGCCACCGGAGGCGAGCUUGACGCGGGUGGGCGACGCGGUGCUGUAGCUUGGGGUCGACAGGACCGGCCCGCCGGGCCGACUGGCAGCCGCCGUCGCCAUGAGAGAUCAGAUCAGAGACCGCGAGCAGGUGGUUGGCUGGUGGUUUGGGAGGCUUGAGAGAUGAGAGCAAACUGAGAAGCCAACGGGUUGGCCGGAAUUUAUNNNNNNNNNNNNNNNNNNNNNNNNNNNNNNNNNNNNNNNNNNNNNNNNNNNNNNNNNNNNNNNNNNNNNNNNNNNNNNNNNNNNNNNNNNNNNNNNNNNNNNNNNNNNNNNNNNNNNNNNNNNNNNNNNNNNNNNNNNNNGGAAUUUAUAGAGCCUGUCGGAGAGGAAGGAAAUGAAUCGGUGGGCGUCUGUUGCGUGGGCCCUGAAGAAAGCCCACCGGAAUCGGUCUUGGGUUCAGGACACGUAGGUCCCAUCUACCAAUAUUGUAGGCUCAUGCAUAGUACUCUACCAGCUUGCUUUGAAUAUCGAUUUCAGCGUCAGGGUUCUGGUCAAUUUCUUGCAUGGCAAACCAUACAUACUGACUGCUACUUGCAUCUCGCGAUUGUUCAUACGUAGUAGUACUAUACAAAUAUUAGUAUAAGAAUAAUUAAAUUAGCCGUAUUUCCGUGUGAACUGCCCUGAUUCGCAAGCUUCUGUUCAGAAAAAGUUUCUCUUACUUUUAGGAGCUGCCCUCAAAAGAAAAGAAAAAAGAUAUACUAUUAGGAGCACAUCGCGCAUGUGCCGAACUGCCGAUGCAUCCAGAGUUUCUCGUCCUCACGCCGCUCCCGUCCCCGCCCCCACCCCGACGCGCCGCUCCCGUCCCCGCCCNGCUGCCGCCAGAAACGCGAGGGAGGGGAGGUCCUGGCCAUGGUCGUCGUGGCCAUGGGAGCUGCUUCUGAGGCUGCUCCCUGGUUACCCUGUUUAAAUUUUUUGCACAUAUUCUAUUUUGUUUUGAUGUAAAUAUUAUCAGUGUUAAUUUAACAGUAUUAAAUCUGUGCUACAUUUAUAUAGAUGGAUGACAACAGCAAGACUCGAGAUACGCUGAUAGUGCAAGCUGCUGGUUUGGUUGCUGUUUUGUGUGCAUAUAUGGCCACUAUAACUACAAGGGCUAGAAUUAGAAAUUAUCGUGCUCCAGUCCGUUAUGUUAUGCUUGAGAGAGACAUAGCUAGGUUGUCCAAUCUACGUUUUAUCUAUGAUACCAAUGAUAUAAAUUGCCAUGACCUACUAAGGAUGAAUAGGGCCCCAUUUUAUAACUUGUGUGCCUUGUUCCGUGACCGAAAGUUGCUGGAAGACAGCAUUCAUACCUGGUAUUUUAAGGUAAUAUGUUACCAUUUAGAAUUUUAUGGACAUGCUGGAUAACCAAAUUUUACAAAAUAUACCUCACCUCUUUUCCUAGGAUUGUGUUGGUGCAAUUGAUGGCACCCAUGUGCUUGCCAAGGUACCCGCUGCUAUUGCUUCGGCAUUUAGGGGUAGGAAAGGUGGCACCACCAAAAAUGUCACUAUUUUAAUUCCAUUUUAAUUCUUUUNNNNNNNNNNNNNNNNNNNNNNNNNNNNNNNNNNNNNNNNNNNNNNNNNNNNNNNNNNNNNNNNNNNNNNNNNNNNNNNNNNNNNNNNNNNNNNNNNNNNNNNNNNNNNNNNNNNNNNNNNNNNNNNNNNNNUCCAUUUUAAUUCUUUUAUGUUUCAGCUCCAUUUUAAUUCUUUUAUGUCACUAUUUCAGCUCCAUUUUAAUUCUUUUAUGUCACUAUUUCAGCUCCAUUUUAAAUCUUUUAUGUCACUAUUUCAGCUCCAUUUUAAUCAGAUUCCUUUGUUUGCUUUGUACAUAGGAGUGAUGGCUGAGAUGGGGGCUGAUGGUGGGCAUGGUGAUGGGAAUCACCCAUUGCGUUGGACAUCUCCAAUGUCUGGUUUCAUGUUACGUCGAUUUGUAGAGCUCAUUGCUAGUGGAGUGAAGACUGACAAAGGCUUUAAGGAGGUGCACUUAAACCAGGUGGCUAAGAAUUGUAGUGACCACUUUGGUCUUGCAAUAACCGGGACCCAAGUCUACAACCACCUCCGCAAGUGGCGUGCUAGGUGGGUGAAGAUUAGUAAGCUCCGAGACAUUAGUGGGUCACUUUGGGAUGAUACUAACUGUGUCAUAUCACUGGAGGAAGAGCACUAUCUGGGCCAUAUCAAGGUUUGUACUUUGAACUGACCUAUAAUUAUUUCCUUUCACAUGCUUCCUAUUUGUCAGUAUAUAACAUUUCCAUAACCACACUACAUAUAGGACCAUCCCAAAGAUGUUGAGUACCUCAAUGUGCCUUUAGAGAACUAUGUUCAAAUGCUUGCUAUCUUUGGGACUGGUAUUGCUACAGGGAGGUAUGCAAUGGCAUCUAAUGAGGCUCUUGGGGUUGCUUCAAUGGUGGGAACCUCCCCAUCGGUUGUCAACAUUGAAGGUUCUGGUUUUGAAUUUGUUGUUGAUGGGAAUGAACCUGACUCGAGUGCUACUGCUGCUGCUCAUGGGGAAGCUGCUGUUGCUCAUUCCACUGGUAAAAGGAAGAGGGUUAGCCUCAUGAGCGAAGAAGAAGUUUUGGUCAUGACCAACAUGUCUGAAGCAGUCCGUGAAGUUGCUAAUGCUAUCAAGUCCACUACAGAGGCACAUCCUGAACUUUAUGAUGCUGUGAUGGAGCUCCCUGGUUUUAGUGAGGAUGAUCUAUUGAUUAUCUUGGAUUAUCUCAAUGAGAGUGCCAACAGGGCUAGGAGCCACUCAUUCGUGCAGAUGACGGAGACUCGCCGCACUCGUUGGGUCAUUCACCACCUUUCCAAGCUCAAGGAUGAUGUGCCCAAGGGUGGAGUGUGAGCAAAUCUUUGCUGAUUAACUAGUUGACCAUAUUUUAUUCCAUUUGGUCAAAAAAACAAUGCCCCUAUAUAUAUGUGAUGUAUGGAAUGUAACUUGAAUCUUAUGUGAUGCUUAUGCGAUGUACUGGAUUAAUAUGGAUGUGUGGCCCUAUAAUAUGUGAACUUUUAAGAUGUAUUGGAUAUUGAUUUAUGUGUAUUGGAUAUUGAUUUAUGUGUAUUGGAUAUUGAUUGUAUCAUAAGCUGCUUCUAUACCGUACAAACAAACAAGAUGCUGCCAAUUUUUUAAAUUACUUCAAUCAUAUUCUUUCAUUAUUUCAAUCAUCAAAGAUAUUACCAAAACUAUCUUGUAAUUAUUUUAUAUCUGUUCGACAUCAUACAACCCACCAAACAAUAUCUGUUGUAUGUUGCAUCUCUCAUACAACCCAAGAUGCAAUAUACCAAACAAAAUCUGAGUUGAACCCAGCUCGUAUCAUGCACCCAACCAAACACACAUCUCAUUUUUAUUUUGCAUCAGGUCAACCAGGCUAGGACCACCCAAGCUCCUUCAUGCAAUGCAUCCUGGAUGCACCCAGGCAACCAAACACGCCCUAAACGUCCGACACAUGCAUGCAUGGCUGUGUGCAUCGGGGCCGAGAAUCCAUUUAUUCGCGCCCAUAUCAUGCAUGUAGGCGACGAAUGUCUUUGUGGAGUCGGCGCCAAGGAAGGGAUCGUGGAACCAAGCCGGCGAUGGUGGCCUCGCUUUCUUUCGGUCGGUUCCGCCGUGAUAACAUGCUCUCAUCUCAUCUGCAUCUGGGUUUCCUUCGAUUGUGGUCGACCGGGCGAUCGAUCGGACGUGGGUGUCUCUUUCGUUUGGUACUGUUGGAUGCGUAUGUUUUCCGUCUAUAUCUAUAUCUAUACCUUUAUAUACCUACUAAAGAAGCUAUUACUUUUAUCCUUAAGUAAAAGAAUGCGUACUUCCGAAGUUGAUACAAAUUAUGCACUAUGCCAUCCUUAAGUAAAAGAAUGUUUCAAAAAAAAAAUCCAAAAUCACCGCGUGCUUUGUUAUUGUAUAAAGGAACAAUACUAAUCUAGAACAGAAACGCACGACUAACGCACGACUAACGUAGGCACAAUUUUUCCUUUUCAAUUUCUCAUGCAGCGUCCUCUUUCAUGAGCCGGGCCGGCCAAGUUGAGGGGCUGGACUCCUCUAUUGUUUUUCAUUUUUUGUUUUAUUUUUUUCUCAUUCUGUUAUCUUCCUUUUUAAAAUUAAUUCGGAAUUUCCAAAUUUCAAAAGUGGUGAGUUCUAAAAAAAUAUUUGAGAAAUUAUAAAAAAUGUAUGUGAAUUCAUUUUUUAGGAAAUCAUAAAAGAUUCAUGGAUUCAAACAAUAUUGGUUUAUUUGUACCCAAAAAAAAUAGAAAGUGUACCCAAAAAGUAAAAAAAAACAUUUUUUUUAAAUUUGUUCCCCAAUUUUUGAAAAAGUUGAGUGAUCCAUAAAAUGUUUGUUGAGUCAAAAAAUGCUCAUGAAUUUGAAAACUUUUCAUGCAUUUCAGAAAAUCGUCGUAAAUAAAACUAAAGUUCAUGAUUUUUUUGAGAAAAUCCAAAAUUUGAAAAAAAAUGUCGAUUUAAAAACUGCUCGUCGAUUCAAAGUCUUCUAAGUCUAGGAUUUGAUUAAAUUUUUGAAAGUCUUUAUAUGUAUAGACGUGGCAGUAGAUCGUGGUCAAUGAGAUUUGUUUUUGUAGUUUUAAAUAUUCUCUUAUUCAAAUCCUGUUCCGUCACUGGUCACCCUGCGCCCGAGGGAGGCAGACUUUGUGUUGCAGACUCUGAGUAGUAGUAGAACUAGUGCAGAGUCAGGGUAUUUUACAGGUCAACGUGGACUCUGCUGCUACGUGCAUUGCCUCCGGCCGGCGCAGGCCGUUUAGCUGCACUUAAUUUACCAAUUCGAUCUACUUUUCCCCCGGCUUAUUACUGCCGGUCGCGCUCGCUGGACCAACCAUGCUCGUAUCCGUCCGGAGCAAUGGGUUGCGUGCCUGCCCGGUCAGGUGUCACCGAACUUCUCCAGGUUCCGUGACUUGGGGAUAAUUCCAGAUAGAGGGCUUGUUUGGUUGGAGACUAAUUUUAUCAAGCCAAAGUGUAGCAAGCCAUAAAGUGUGGCUGAAAAAACGAACGUCAAACUUUGACAAAAGUUGACAAAAAAAUUAAUUUUAUAACAAAUGGACCAUAGCAAGAAUAAAGUAUGACAAGUUAAAGUGUGACAAAAACCAAACAUAUGCCAACUAAACUGUGACUGCUAAAUUUUGACUUGACAAAGUGUGGCUGGGAGCCAAACAGGCCCGGAGUGACUGUGCAGUGACUCGAUGAUCCUGGUGGCCUGGUGCUCGGGAAAGAGAGCCCUGAAGCGAGUGUCGUGUCAGCGGCAAGAGAGGCCGACCUUGACCUUCCAUCGGAAGCGCCAAGUCCGACCGAGUCCGGAAUCAGACGGUGCUCGGCGUGAUCAAUCAUCCGUUCCGUUGACUUGCUCGACCGCCGGUGACCUUGACGCUCCAGAGCUUCUUUUGGUUAGCGAAUGCGUGUCCAAUAUUAUCGAAAAAGGCCGUGCCCCAAUAUAAAUUAAAUACAAAGCAAACAUCAUACAAAUCAAGACAUAUCACAUGACACCACCACACACGUACACAAGGCUGGAUACAAGGGUGUUAAAGAACAACGACACAACCCCAAAACUCCAAGCACACUAUACGAGGAAGCAGCUUGGAGUCAUCGGAGCUCUCAACAGUGAUCAAGUCACCGCGAAGCCUUGCCGGUGCUUGUCGACGACGACGACCGUGGGCGUCACUUUUCUCCUUGGAGGCGUCGUCGUCUUCAUGUGCAUCAUCCACUUUUGGAUCAAGCUCUUCACGCGAAAGCCUAGAUUGGCCUGGGCUGGGCAACGAUGUCGUCCCUGCAAUGUGCGUGUACAUUGCCUCCGGCUCAUGGCGUUUACCGGCGGUUUACUGAUUCUGAACUUUUUCUCCCGGGCCGGCAUAUCGGUCGCCCUCGCGUCCUACCUGGACACUGAAAAAUCGCAAUACUACCCACCGAUUCCCUACUCGAUCAGGUGGCACUGAACUUCUCCAGGUUCCGUGGCAGGCAGAUCUUCCAGCCCGGGUGACUCUGCACUGACUCGAUCAUGCCCUGCUGCGCCGGCAACAGAGUUUCUUCUGCUCGCGUCCGUGGCACCUGUGCGUCCGCGCGCGCGACCGAGUCCGGCGAACUAAAGUGCUCGCCGCGGGCAUGUUGGCGACGCCGACGUUUCAGAUUUUUUGGCUCGCAAAUGGAUAUUUGACGAGCUUGACAGGACGUACUACCAACUCGUCAGAUAUCCAGCUAAAAAAAAAGUUGUCAGAUAUUCAAACAGUACUGUAGUCCACCAUGAGCGAGACAGCGACCCCACUUGCUUAUUUUUCGCUUUGCAGCAACUACAUGCCCAACGCGGCCAGUGUACGUACACAGACAGCGGUUCUCAACGGAAGAUGAUAGUGGAGUAGUAAUGAUCUUUUUCAUCUGCGCCCGUACAAUGUAUGAUCGGUAUUCAGAUCGUUAAGCAAAAGAAACACCGUAUUUGAUAGGGAGAUGAGAGCUGACUGAUAAGUGUUGGUGUGGCGAGCAACCCAUUUCCGGCGAAGGAACAUAACUCAUUAAACAAGAAGCUGGCCUGUUGUGCGAGCCCACUAUCAUCUUGUUGCCCAAGUUCAGGAGUUUUUUUUUUAAAGAAGGAACGAAGCCUCGGUCACUACAUUAAUUGUUGCAUGCAACAAUAUUAUUAAAACAAGUAUAGACAUAACGUCUUCCGUCCACGAAGUACUCACAAUCUGAGCUUAACAAAAGCAAGUACGUGAAAUAAAAUUGCUACAUCUGUCGAGACCAAAAUUAAGCUACGAUACCUAUAUACCUAGCCUACUAUUAGCUAGGCAUCCAAAUCGGUUGAAGAUAGCUUAUACGACCGUCCCCCGUCGGUUGCACCCAAUAACCAUAACAUUUCUGUAAUUCACAUGAAUGAGUAACGAUCACGUGCAGAUUCUAACCGUGACUCCAUAGUUAACGUGUAAAAAAUUGUUGAAGAUCUUGUCACUAAAAAAUAUAUCAUUUCUAGUGUUCCAUAUGGCUCAAAAUAAUGUACAUAUUCCAAUCCGGAUAUGAUUCGCUAUAGUGUCGUCUACUCUAUUAAGCCACGGUCCAGAUAACAUAUUAAUGCUUGUUGGUGUAUUUAUGUUGAAGGCAAUAUGGAUAGUGCGACAUAAUAAUUUCGUUAGUGAACAAUCAAGGAAAAGGUGUCUUAUUGUUGCAUUUUGUUCACAAUAGCAACGUAUAAAAAUGCCUAUCCAUCUCCGCUUUAUCAAAUUAUCAUUGGUUAAUACAAACCCUUGUCUAUAAACCACACGAAUAAUUUAAUUCAAAGGGCUUUUAAAGCUUUCAAAUAUGCAAUGAUCUCGAAAGAGGCCCAAAAUUAAUUAUAUUCAUGUAUACUGAUUACAUUGAAAAAGUAGUUAAUUUUCAAAUAGUAUCUGGCUGGUCAGAGAGGUGAAACACAACCUCCACUCCGUUGGUCGCGUCAAAUAUCACGAGUGGGAAGAAGAAAUAUCUCAGUUCAUUCAUCGAUUCGAUCAUGAGACUGAUACGUCUUCAACGUAUCUAUAAUUUUUGAUGGUUUCAUGCUAUUAUCUUAUCAAACUUUGGAUGUUUUGCAUGUCUUUUAUUUAUUUUUGGGAUUAACUUAUUAAUCCAGUGCCAAGUGUCAGAUCCUGUUUUCCUCAUGUUUUUGACCCCUUUCAGAAGAGAUUUUGAAACGGAGUCCAAACGGAAGAAAAUCCCCGAAAAGAUUUUUUCUGGAACGGAAGAAGAUCGGAGAGCUUGGGGGCCAAGCCAGAAGAGCCCCAGGGGCCCCACAAGCCCCCACCCCGCGGCUAGGGGGGAGCGCCAUGCAGGCUUGUGGGCCCCCUGGAGGUCCCUUGACCUAGAUCUUGCGACUAUAAAUUCUCAAAUAUUCCCCAACAAAUCAUCGGAGCAUCGUAAUCACUUUUCCGCCGCCGCAAGCUUCUGCCUCCGCAAGAUUCCAUCUAGGGCACAUCCUGGUGCCCUGCCAGAGAGGGGAUUCGGAGACGGAGGGCUUCUUCAUCAACACCAUGACCUCUCCGAUGAUGCGUAAUUAGUUCACCAUAGACCUACGGUCCAUAGCUAGUAACUAGAUGGCUUCUUCUCUCUCUUGGAUCUUCAAUACAAAGUUCUCCAUGAUCUUCAUGGAGAUAUAUCCGAUAUAAUCUUCUUUUGCGUGUGUUUGUCGAGAUCCGAUGAAUUGUGGAUUUAUGAUCAGAUUAUCUAUGAAUCUUAUUUGAGUUUCUUUUGAUCUCUCUUAUGCAUGAUUUCAUAUCCUUGUAAUUCUCUUCGAGUUGUGGGUUUUGUUUGGCCAACUAGAUCUAUGAUUCUUGCCAUGGGAGAAGUGCUUGGUUUUGGAUUCAUACCGUGCGGUGACCUCACCCAGUGACAGAAGGGUAGCGAGGCAUGUAUCGUGUUGUUGCCAUGAAGGGUAAAAGAUGGGGUUUUCAUCAUUGGUUUGAGAUUAUCCCUCUACAUCAUGUCAUCUUGCUUAAAUCGUUACUCUGUUUGUCAUGAACUCAAUACACUAGAUGCAUGCUGGAUAGCGAUCGAUGUGUGGAGUAAUUAUAGUAGAUGCAGAAAGUAUCGGUCUACUUGUCUCGGACAUGAUGCCUAUAUGUAUGAUCAUUGCCUUAGAUAUUGUCAUGACUUUGCGCGGUUCUAUCAAUUGCUCGAUAGUAAUUUGUUCACCCACCAUAAUACUUGCUAUUUUGAGAGAAGCCUCUAGUGAACAUUAUGGAACCAAGGGUCUACUCCACACCAUAUUUUCAGCCUUACAGUUUUUACUUUGUUGCACUUUCCGCCUUCAGAUCUCACUUUGCAAACAAUCUUGAAGGGAUUGACAACCCCUUUGAAGCGUUGGGUGCAACCUUGUUUGUGUUUGCGCAGGUACUCUGGACUUGACGAGACCCUCCUUCUGGACCGAUACCUUGGUUCUCAAACUGAGGGAAAUACUUACUGCUCCUGUGCUGCAUCACCCUUUCCUCUUCAAGGAAAAACCAACACAAGCCCAAUCUCCGUCAACGUGUCAAUUUCUGGCGCUGUUGUUUGAGAAGUAGCAGAGGCCAACUCCACACCGCGACCACAUCCUGUCCGACCCCGUUUGUUUGGGGUAAAAGGGACAAACCGGUCGGCCCAGCGCGAGACGGCCCCGACCCGUCUUGUUCGUUUUGUGUCCGGGGCGACCCAUUUCAAACGCAAACUUGCGCGGGAUUUGGGUCGCGGCGGACAGCAAGCGGACGCGCGCUUGUCCGCGUCAGGGAUGCGUGGCAGGCUGCCACCUACCUCCCACCCACCCACAUCAAUGCGCACGAGCGGCCGGGCCCGCGUGUCAUCCGCCUAGGAAACGGUCAUGGUCCUUCUUAAAUGGAAUAGUCGUGGACCGGUUAUCGUCCACACUUCCCAUCGCCACCCCGCGGCCUCCUCGAAACCCGACACCCAAACCCUAGCCUCCUUGAACUCGCCGGCCGACCACCUCGCAACCAUGGGGCUCUGGAACUACGGCCGCAUGGGGAAGCACGACCGCGAGGCUGGCUCCUCGUCGGGACGCCGCCGCGGCUCCGUGAAGGAAGAGGCCGCAUCGCCACCGCCCGGGGCCUCCGCGCCUGCUCCCUUCACCAUCGGCCCUAGGCCUGCCGGCCAGCGCGACCGGCGGUACCUCAGCUCUGAGGUAUGCUGGCGCUACUGGGAGACGAGGACGCCGGUCCCGUGCAGCAACAUCCACAUCCCUAACGCCUGGCACCUCUCCGCCGACCGGGUCCCGAUCCCGCCAGUGCCGACGAGCGGUUGUGCGCUCCGCGACGAGAUCGAGCGCCGCCGCCGCCUAUGUUGGAAAUAUGCCCUAGAGGCAAUAAUAAAAUGGUUAUUAUCAUAUUUCCUUGUUCAUGAUAAUCGUCUAUUGUUCAUGCUAUAAUUGUAUUAACAGGAAACAGUGAUACAUGUGUGAAUAAAUAGAUCACAAUGUGUCCCUAGCAAGCCUCUAGUUGGCUAGCUCGUUAGUCAAUAGAUGAUCAUGGUUUCCUGAUCAUGGGCAUUAGAUGUCAUUGAUAACGGGAUCACAUCAUUAGGAGAAUGAUGUGAUGGACAAGACCCAAUCCUAAGCAUAGCACUAGAUCGUAUUGUUCGUAUGCUAAAGCUUUUCUAAUGUCAAGUAUCUUUUCCUUCGACCGUGAGAUUGUGCAACUCCCGGAUACCGUAGGAGUGCUUUGGGUGUAUCAAACGUCAUAACGUAACUGGGUGACUAUAAAGGUGCACUACGGGUACCUCCAAAAGUGUCUGUUGGGUUGGUACGAAUCGAGAUCGGGAUUUGUCACUCCGUGUGACGAAGAGGUAUCUCUGGGCCCACUCGGUAGAACAUCAUCUUGAGCUCAAUGUGACUAAGGAGUUAGUCACACGAUGACAUGCUACGGAACAAGUAAAGAGACUUACCGAUAACGAGAUUGAACAAGGUAUAAGUAUACCGACGAUCGAAUGUCGGGCAAGUUCUAUACCGACAGACAAAGGGAAUCGUAUACGGGAUUGUUUGAAUCCUUGACAUCGUGGUUCAUCCGACGAGAUCAUCGUGGAGCAAGUGGGAGCCACCAUGGGUAUCCAGACCCCGCUGAUGGUUAUUGGCCAGAGAGGUGUCUCGGUCAUGUCUGCCUGUCUCCCGAACCCGUAGGGUCUACACACUUAAGGUUCGAUGACACUAGGGUUAUAGGGAUUUAUUAUACGAGGUUACCGAAAGUUGUUCGGAGUCCCGGAUGAGAUCCCGGACGUCACGAGGAGCUUCGGAAUGGUCCGGAGGUAAAGAUUGAUAUAUAGGACGGAUGGUUUUGGACACCGGAAGUGUUUCGGGCGUCACCGGUAAUGUACCGGGACCACCGGGACCACCGGAGGUGGCCCCGGGGGACCACCGAAGGGGGGCAACGACCCCGGGAGAUAAGGUGGGCCAAGUGAGGGUGGGAACCAGCCCCUAGAUGGGCUGGUGCGCCUCCCCACUCAGCCCAAUGCGCAGGGGAGAGAAAAGGGGGGGCAAACCCUAAGCCAGGUGGGCCUAAGGCCCACCAGUUGGUGCGCCACCCCCUCCUCCCCCUCUGGCCGCCGCACNNNNNNNNNNNNNNNNNNNNNNNNNNNNNNNNNNNNNNNNNNNNNNNNNNNNNNNNNNNNNNNNNNNNNNNNNNNNNNNNNNNNNNNNNNNNNNNNNNNNNNNNNNNNNNNNNNNNNNNNNNNNNNNNNNNNNNNNNNNCCCAUCUGGGGGGGGGGGCUGCCGCACCCCCUAGGGUGGGAAACCUAGGGGUGGCACCCCCUCUCCCCUCCCCCUAUAUAUAUCGGGCACUUUUGGCCAUUGAGACACACAAUUUUCCCUCUCUCUCGGCGCAGCCCCGCCCUUCUUCCUCCUCCUCUCUGCCGGUGCUUGGUGAAGCCCUGCCGGGAGACCUCGUCUCUCCACCGACACCACGCCGUCGUGCUGCUGGAGUUCUUCCCCAACCUCUCCCUCCUCCUUGCUGGAUCAAGGUGCGGGACACGUCACCGGGUUGCACGUGUGUUGAACGCGGAGGUGCCGUAGUUCGGCACUAGAUCGGAAUCGCUGCGAGUACGACUCCAUCAACCGCGUUCUAGCAACGUUUCCGCUUAGCGAUCUUCAAAGGUAUGAAUAUGCUCUUACCCCUCUCUCGUUGCUGGUCUCUCCAUAGGAAGAUCUGAAUAUGCGUAAGAAAAUUUUGAAUUUAUGCUACGUUACCCAACAGUGGCAUCCGAGCCAGAUUUUCUAUGCGUAGAUUCAAUGCACGAGUAGAACACAAAAGUUGUGGGCGAUGAUUUGUCAAUUUGCUUGCCGCUACUAGUCUUAUUCUUUUCCGGCGGUAUUGUGGGAUGAAGCGGCCCGGACCGACUUUACACGUACGCUUACGUGAGACUUGUUCCACCGACAGACAUGCACACCGUGCAUAAAUGUGGCUAGCGGGUGUCUGUCUCUCCUACUCUAGUCAGAUUGGAUUUGAUGAAAAGGGUCCUUAUGAAGGGUAACUAGCUUUGGCAUAUCAUCGUUGUGGAUGUCACGUAGGUAAGAAGGCGUUCUUGCUAGAAACCCAAAUCAACCACGUAAAACUUGCAACAACAAUUAGAGGACGUCUAACUUGUUUUUGCAGGGUUUGACAUGUGAUGUGAUAUGGCCAAAGUUGUGAUGUUGCAUGUAUGAUGUAUGAGAUGAUCAUGUUAUUUUAAUAGGUUUCACGACUUGCAUGUCGAUGAGUAUGAUAACCGGCAGGAGCCAUAGGAGUUGUCUUAAUUUAUUGUAUGAGAUGCAACGCCAUGUGCUUACUACUUUUACUUCAUUGCUAACGGUUAGCUAUAGUAGUAGUGAUAGUAGUAGUUGGCGUGACGACUUCACAGAGACACGAUGAUGGAGAUCAUGAUGAUGGAGAUCAUGGUGUCACGCCGGUGACGAUGAUGAUCAUGCGAUGCCUGAAGAUGGAGAUCGAAAGAGCAAAGAUGAUAAUGGCUAUAUCAUGUGACUAUAUGAUUGCAUUGUGAUGUUUAUCAUUUUUUUCAUCUUAUUGCUUAGAACGACGAUUGCAUAAUAAGAUGAUCCAUCUCAAAAUUUCGAGAACGUAUUCCCCUAAGUGUGCACCGUUGCGAAGGUUCGUUGUCUCGAAGCACCAGUGAUGAUCGGGUAUGAUAGAUUCUAACGUUCGCAUACAACGGGUGUAAGCCAGAUUUACACACGUGAAACACCUAGGUUGACUCGACGAGCUUAGCAUGUACAGACAUGACCUCGAAUACAAGAGACCGAAAGGUCGAACAUGAGUCGUAUGGUUGAAUACGAUCAGCAUGAAGUUGCUCACCAUGGUGACUAGUCCGUCUCACGUGAUGAUCGGACACGGGUUAGUCAACAUGGAUCAUGUAUCACUUAGAUGACUAAAGGGAUGUCGAUUUAAGUGGGAGUUCAUACUCAAGUUGAUUAAAUGAACUUAAUUGUCAUGAACUUAGUCUAAAAGUUGUCUUUAUAAAUAUUGUAGAUGUCCAACGUCAACCUCAAUUUCAACGCAUUCCUAGAGAAAAACAAGUUGAAAGAUGAUGGUAGCAACUAUGCGGACUGGGUUCGCAACUUGAAGCUCAUCCUUGAAGCAACUAAAAAGGCUUAUGUCCUUGAUGCGCCACUAGGUGACCCUCCCGCUCCCGCAGCAGCCCAGGACAUUCUGAACGUCUGGCAAACGCGGAGUGAUGACUACUCUCUGGUUAGGUGUGGCAUGUUAUACAGUUUAGAAACGGGGCUCCAAAGGCGUUUUGAGCAACACGGGGCAUCUGAGAUGUUCCAGGAGCUGAAGCUAGUUUUUCAAGCUCAUGCCCGUGUCGAGAGAUAUGAAGUCUCCGACAAGUUCUUUAGCUGUAAGAUGGAGGAGAACAGUUCUGUUAGUGAGCACAUACUCAAAAUGUCUGGGUUACACGGUCGUUUGACUUCGCUUGGAGUCGAACUUCCGGAUGAUGCUAUAAUUGACAGAAUCCUCCAAUCUCUCCCACCAAGCUACAAAGGCUUUGUGCUUAACUACAACAUUCAAGGGAUGGAGAAGACCAUUCCCGAGUUGUACUCGAUGCUCAAGUCUACAGAAGUAGAAAUCAAGAAAGAGCAUCAUGUGUUGAUGGUCAACAAGACCACUAGUUUCAAGAAAGGCAAGGGUAAGAAGAACUUCAAGAAAGACAGCAAAGCUGUUGCCGCGCCCGGUAAGCCAGAUGCCGGGAAGAAGAAAAAGAACGGACCCAAGCCUGAGACUGAGUGCUUCUAUUGCAAGGGAAAGGGUCACUGGAAGCGAAACUGCCCCAAAUACUUAGCGGACAAGAAGGCCGGCAACGUUAAAGGUAUAUGUGACAUACAUGUUAUUGAUGUGUACCUUACCAGCGCUCGUAGUAGCUCCUGGGUAUUUGAUACCGGUGUUGUUGCUCACAUUUGCAACUCAAAGCAGGAACUGCGGAAUAAGCGGAGACUGGCCAAGGACGAGGUGACGAUGCGCGUCGGGAAUGGUUCAAAGGUCGAUGUGAUCGCCGUCGGCACGCUACCUCUACGUCUACCAUCGGGAUUAGUUUUAAACCUUAAUAAUUGUUAUUUAGUACCAGCUUUAAGCAUGAACAUUGUAUGAGGGUCUUGCUUAAUGCGAGACGGCUACUCAUUUAAGUCAGAGAAUAAUGGUUGUUCUAUUUAUAUGAGUGAUAUGUUUUAUGGUCAUGCUCCGCUGGUGAAUGGUUUAUUCUUGAUGAAUCUCGAUCGUGAUGUUACACAUAUUCAUAGUGUGAGUACCAAAAGAUGUAAAGUUGAUAAUGAUAGUCCCACAUACUUGUGGCACUGCCGCCUUGGUCAUAUCGGCGUUAAGCGCAUGAAGAAGCUCCAUACUGAUGGACUAUUAGAGUCUCUUGACUUUGAAUCAUUUGACACAUGCGAACCGUGCCUCAUGGGUAAGAUGACUAAGACUCCAUUCUCUGGAAUAACGGAGAGAGCAACCGACUUAUUGGAAAUAGUACAUACUGAUGUGUGUGGUCCAAUGAACGUUGAAGCUCGCGGUGGUUAUCAUUAUGUUCUCACCCUCACCGAUGAUUUGAGUAGGUAUGGGUAUAUCUACUUGAUGAAGCACAAAUCUGAGACGUUUGAAAAGUUCAAGGAAUUUCAGAGUGAGGUUGAGAAUCAACGUGACAGAAAAAUUAAAUGUCUACGAUAUGAUCGUGGAGGAGAAUAUUUGAGUCACGAGUUUGGCACACACCUAAGGAAGUGUGGAAUCGUUUCACAACUAACGCCGCCUGGCACACCGCAACGCAACGGAGUGUCUGAACGUCGUAAUCGCACUUUAUUAGAUAUGGUACGAUCUAUGAUGUCUCUUACCGACUUACUGCUAUCAUUUUGGGGAUACGCAUUAGAAACUGCAGCAUUCACUUUAAAUAGGGCACCGUCUAAAUCCGUUGAGACGACACCGUAUGAACUAUGGUUUGGCAAGAAACCUACGUUGUCGUUUCUUAAAGUUUGGGGCUGCGAUGCUUAUGUGAAGAAACUUCAACCAGAAAAGCUCGAACCCAAAGCGAAGAAAUGCGUAUUCAUAGGAUACCCUAAGGAAACUAUUGGGUAUACCUUCUAUCUUAGAUUCGAAGGUAAAACCUUUGUUGCCAAGAACGGAUCCUUUCUAGAGAAAGAGUUUCUCUCGAAAGAAGUAAGUGGGAGGAAGGUAGAACUUGAUGAGGUAAUUACACCCCCUCUCGAACAGGAUAGUAGCACAGCGCGGGAAGUUGUUCCUGUGCCGCCUACACCAACUGUAGAGGAAGUUAAUGAUGAUGAUCAUGAAGCUUCGGAUCAAGUUACUACUGAACCACGAAGGUCCACAAGGGUACGCUCCGCACCAGAGUGGUACGGCAACCCUGUGAUGGAAAUCAUGUUGUUAGACAACGGUGAACCUUCGAACUAUGAAGAAGCGAUGGCGGGCCCGGAUUCCAACAAAUGGCUUGAGGCUAUGAAAUCCGAGAUAGGAUCCAUGUAUGAGAACAAAGUAUGGACUUUGGUGGACUUGCCCGAUGACCGGCGAGCCAUAGAAAAUAAAUGGAUCUUCAAGAAGAAGACUGAUGCAAACGGUAAUGUAACCGUUUACAAAGCUCGACUUGUCGCAAAGGGUUUUCGACAAAUUCAAGGAGUUGACUACGAAGAGACUUUCUCUCCCGUAGCGAAGCUGAAAUCAGUCCGAAUCAUGUUAGCAAUUGCCGCCUUUUAUGAUUAUGAAAUUUGACAAAUGGACGUCAAAACAGCGUUCCUUCACGGGAACCUUAAGGAAGAGUUGUAUAUGAUGCAACCAGAAGGUUUUGUCGACCCUAAGGGUGCUAACAAAGUGUGCAAGCUCCAGCGCUCCAUCUAUGGGCUGGUGCAAGCAUCUCGGAGUUGGAACAUUCGCUUUAAUGAGGUGAUUAAAGCGUUUGGGUUCAUACAGGUUUACGGAGAAGCCUGUCUGUACAAGAAAGUGAGUGGGAGCUCUGUAGCUUUCCUCAUACUGUAUGUGGAUGACAUAUUAUUGAUGGGGAAUGAUAUAGAGAUGUUGGAGAGCAUAAAGGCCUAUUUGAACAAGAGUUUUUCAAUGAAGGACCUUGGAGAAGCUGCAUACAUAUUAGGCAUCAAGAUCUAUAGAGAUAGAUCAAGACGCCUCAUAGGUCUUUCGCAAAGUACGUACCUUGACAAGAUAUUGAAUAAGUUCAAUAUGGAAAACUCAAAGAAAGGGUUCUUGCCAGUUUUGCAAGGUAUGAGAUUGAGUAAGACUCAGUCGCCGACCACGGCAGCAGAUAGAGAGAAGAUGAGUUCUGUCCCCUACGCUUCAGCCGUGGGCUCUCUAAUGUAUGACAUGCUGUGUACCAGACCUGAUAUAAACCUUGCCAUAAGUCUGGUAGGAAGGUACCAAAGUGAUCCAGGUAUGGAACACUGGAAAGCGGUCAAGAAUAUCCUUAAGUACCUGAAAAGGACUAAGGAAAUGUUUCUCGUUUAUGGAGGUGACGAAGAGCUCGUCGUAAAGGGUUACGUCGACGCUAGCUUCGACAGAAAUCCGGAUGACUCCAAGUCACAGACCGGAUACGUAUAUGUGUUGAAUGGUGGGGCAGUGAGCUGGUGCAGCAGCAAGCAAGAAGUCGUGGCAGCAUCUACAUGUGAAGCGGAGUACAUAGCUGCUUCAGAAGCGGCUCAUGAAGGAAUUUGGAUGAAGGAGCUCAUCACCGACCUUGGAGUGGUUCCAAGCGCGUCGGGUCCUAUGACACUCUUCUGUGACAACACUGUAGCCAUUGCCAUAGCCAAGGAGCCCAGGUUUCACCGGAAGACGAAGAACAUCAAACGCCGCUACAACUCCAUCCAGGACCAUGUCCAGAGUGGAGUGAUAGAUAUUUGUAAAGUACACACGGAUCUGAAUAUUGCAGACCUGUUGACUAAACCUCUUCCACGGGCAAAACAUGAUCAACACCAUAAUGCUAUGGCUGUUCGAUACAUCACAAUGUAACUAGAUUAUUGACUCUAGUGCAAGUGGGAGACUGUUGGAAAUAUGCCCUAGAGGCAAUAAUAAAAUGGUUAUUAUCAUAUUUCCUUGUUCAUGAUAAUCGUCUAUUUUUCAUGCUAUAAUUGUAUUAACUGGAAACAGUGAUACAUGUGUGAAUAAAUAGAUCACAAUGUGUCCCUAGCAAGCCUCUAGUUGGCUAGCUCGUUAGUCAAUAGAUGAUCAUGGUUUCCUGAUCAUGGGCAUUAGAUUUCAUUGAUAACAGGAUCACAUCAUUAGGAGAAUGAUGUGAUGGACAAGACCCAAUCCUAAGCAUAGCACUAGAUCGUAUUGUUCGUAUGUUAAAGCUUUUCUAAUGUCAAGUAUCUUUUCCUUCGACCGUGAGAUUGUGCAACUCCCGGAUACCGUAGGAGAGCUUUGGGUGUAUCAAACGUCACAACGUAACUGAGUGACUAUAAAGGUGCACUACGGGUACCUCCGAAAGUGUCUGUUGGGUUGGUACAAAUCGAGAUCGGGAUUUGUCACUCCGUGUGACGGAGAGGUAUCUCUGGGCCCACUCGGUAGAACAUCAUCUUGAGCUCAAUGUGACUAAGGAGUUAGUCACACGAUGACAUGCUACGGAACGAGUAAAGAGACUUACCGAUAAUGAGACUGAACAAGGUAUAGGUAUACGGACGAUCGAAUCUCGGGCAAGUUCUAUACCGACAGACAAAGGGAAUCGUAUACGGGAUUGUUUGAAUCCUUGACAUCGUGGUUCAUCCGAUGAGAUCAUCGUGGAGCAAGUGGGACCACCAUGGGUAUCCAGACCCCGCUGGUGGUUAUUGGCCAGAGAGGUGUCUCGGUCAUGUCUGCCUGUCUCCCGAACCCGUAGGGUCUACACACUUAAGGUUCGAUGACGCUAGGGUUAUAGGGAAUUAUUAUACGAGGUUACCGAAAGUUGUUCGGAGUCCCGGAUGAGAUCCCGGACAUCACGAGGAGCUCCGGAAUGGUCCGGAGGUAAAGAUUGAUAUAUAGGACGGAUGGUUUUGGACACCGGAAGUGUUUCGGGCGUCACCGGUAAUGUACCGGGACCACCGGGACCACCGAAGGGGGGCAACGACCCCGGGAGAUAAGGUUGGCCAAGUGGGGGUGGGAACCAGCCCCUGGUGCGCCUCCCCACUCAGCCCAAUGCGCAGGGGAGAGAAAAGGGGGGGGCAAACCCUAAGCCAGGUGGGCCUAAGGCCCACCAGUUGGUGCGCCACCCCCUCCUCUCCCUCUGGCCGCCGCACNNNNNNNNNNNNNNNNNNNNNNNNNNNNNNNNNNNNNNNNNNNNNNNNNNNNNNNNNNNNNNNNNNNNNNNNNNNNNNNNNNNNNNNNNNNNNNNNNNNNNNNNNNNNNNNNNNNNNNNNNNNNNNNNNNNCCCAUCUGGGGGGGGGGCUGCCGCACCCCCUAGGGUGGGAACCCUUGGGGUGGCACCCCCUCUCCCCUCCCCCUAUAUAUAUCGGGCACUUUUGGCCAUUGAGACACACGGUUUUCCCUCUCUCUCGGCACAGCCCCGCCCUUCUUCCUCCUCCUCUCUGCCGGUGCUUGGCGAAGCCCUGCCGGGAGACCUCGUCUCUCCACCGACACCACGCCGUCGUGCUGCUGGAGUUCUUCCCCAACCUCUCCCUCCUCCUUACUGGAUCAAGGUGCGGGAUACGUCACCGGGUUGCACGUGUGUUGAACGCGGAGGUGCCGUAAUUCGGCACUAGAUCGGAAUCGCUGCGAGUACGACUCCAUCAACCACGUUCUAGCAACGCUUCCGUUUAGCGAUCUUCAAAGGUAUGAAGAUGCUCUUACCCCUCUCUCGUUGCUGGUCUCUCCAUAGGAAGAUCUGAAUAUGCGUAGGAAAAUUUUGAAUUUAUGCUACGUUACCCAACAGCCUACUCCCCGACGACCUGUACUACGACGACAGGUACGCCACCGACUCCACCCUCUGGGACACGUGGGUCAGGGACGACCACGACGUGCGGCGCGCCUCCUACUUCGCCGACACAGUGUCCGGGCCGCGGCGGGCACGGGAGGUGCGCGGGCAUACACGGGUGCGCGGCCUCACGCCCAUGCCGUCGCCUUCCUCGUCUCCGGCAUCACCUCCACCUUCUCGCAUGACAUCGUAGGAGGAGGCCCGACUCAUGCAACGUGUCAUGGAGGACUCCAUGAUGACGCAUGAUGAACGCCAAUGGCCGCGCCUAGAGGAGGCGAUGGCCCUCUCUGCGGCCGGCGACGUCGCCAUCCCCGAGCUGAUGGAGGGGGAGGAGGUGAUGGAGGACGCCCCGGUGGCCGCGUUCCCUCCGAAUCUGGUGGGCCAGCAGUGGAGCUGGUCGUGCACGGCGUCGGAGAUGGCGCGGGCAGUGGGGCUGUGAACUGGUGCCCCACGCCGCCGCGGUCACCGGAGCGGGACGCCUCGCCACGGGAGGAGGUGCUGCAGGCACCUGCCAGCUUCCAGCCCGCCCCGCGCACCACGGACCGCGGGCCCACCUCUGGACGCCGCCGACCUACGUCGACCUCGUCUGCGAUGGCGACGAUGACGACACCGGCGGUCAGUCAAGACGGCGACGGCCACGGCAUCUACAGGCUUUUUUUUAUAUGUUAAUUAUGUCAAACUGGACCCUCCUUUUUUAUGUUAAUGUUAUGUUUUAAGUUUUUUUAACUGCGUUUAUUUACUUUUUAGUUAAAUUUUUCUAUUUUUUAAUCAUUUUCAACACAAGCAUGAUUUGAGAUGCGCACGACCCAACAGACAGAAGCGGACAUGAACGCGGCCGAAACCGGGCGUCCGUUUGGGGUCGUGCUGUAGAGUUGGCGUGAAAGCUCUACACAAAUCUCGCUGGAACCGGCCGUGCGUGUUUCGCGUCGCCUCAUCCGUUCGGCUGGGGGCCUGUAGGAACGCCGCGUGACGGGAGCAAGCGACGGCGACACGCCACUGAUCUCUUGCGGAGGUCAUCUGAAACCGUAACAGGGGCGAGAAACAGGAACAGAAAACAGAAGCGGAAAGUUGUUGCUUCAAAUCAUCCUCAUCCAUGGACGGAUAAGCCUCCCGUCACGGGUCAAAGAUGAGAUGCAUGUACCUUGCGUCUCCAAUUUGUCAGUCAUGUACUGCACAUCCAUAUCCAGAAACAAUGGCGUUUGUUUUACACCGCGUGGAGCAGAGGACGAGCUCACUCUGUGUACACGGCAGAGGAGGAAGAAGCUCACUCCAUGUUACAGCUAAACUGGGUCAAAAGUUCCUAACUAUAUCUUGCUAUGGCAUGUCGGCGUUGAUUUGUUUACUGGCAGUUGUCGCCGGGACGCUCGCCGGCCACGGACACGGCGGAGAGCCGGCUAGGCCUGGGGCGGAACCCGCCCGCGCGCCUCGGGUGCUGCGCGGCGGGGGACGGCGCGAGGGCUCUGCGGGCGCACUGCCCGCUGUCCAUGCGCUUCGAGCCCAGGCUGCAGGCGCUGCGGACGGACGGCAGGGAGGCGGGCUUGCCGCUGCCGGCUGGGGCCGCUGCCGCCGCCUGCUUGUGGAGGCUGCACCGGAACGAGCCCGGGUGGUUCGUUGAGGAGCACAUGCAGGACCGCCGGCUCCUGGCGCUGGAGGACGGGGAGGAGACGCUGACGGACUUGCCCGGCGAGCGGGCGGGGAGGUUGACGCGGGUGGGCGAGGCUGAGCGGUAGCUGGGGAUCGACAGCACCGGGCCGCUGGGCCGACUCGCAGUCGCCGUCGCCAUGAGAG